UUUAGAGUAUAGGUGGAGUUUUGUGGUGGCUCCUGUUGAGUUAGUUUCCAUUGGGCUAGUGGGACUGCAGUAGAAGGCUCUCCUCACUAGAUCUGGGCACCAUCUCAGGAAAAAGUUCCUUGAGGACUGAGACACCUUGCCUUCUUGAAACAUAAACACAAAAAAAGAAGAAAAUAGUACAGCCUGCUUUAACUGGUAUCAAAAGAGAGAAUCCAACGCCUCUGAAUAUCUUGAGCUGCAAGCCAUCCAGGAUUUGCGGAUAAUGUUGAACCGGCUCUAUUUAUUUCAAGUGCGAUGGACAUUAGGUCACGUUCCAAAGGUGGGGAAUAAAGCCACAAACAAAAACUACUUCAGACUGUGGAGAAGUGAAAAUAAAUACCCUCUGUGGUGGUAAAGACUUCUAUAUAUGGAGAUGAAGCUCAACAGUACAAUCAUUCAGUGGCACAAAAGCUGAGACUGACGAGGCUUCUGGAGAAGUAAGAGAGGGGGAAAAAGGGUCAGAGAGGGGAAAAGCCAAUGUGAAGUAGUGGAGUGUCAUUUUAGAAGCUGUUACUAAUAGAAAACUGGGUCUACAUUUCAUUUUCCACCAUCUCAAGUUCUAGGCAUCGUCAUUUGUUAAUAUAAUUGGAUAUUCAAGUUACAUACUUGGAUGUUUUUGGCAGUUUUGCUGUCACAAAUACAGCUCUCACAAGCUACAUGGUCUCCAUGCUCUUGAAUGACGACUAACCAAAUGGCUGCCAUCCAGUCAAGGAAUGGAAAUUAUUAGGAAUUGUUUUGGGAUAGAUAUAUAUAUACACACAUAAUAAUAGCAAUGCUGCUUCUGUAAGGCCAGUGACUCUUGAGUAACAGCAAGAUCGUUACUUUUAUAAAGGGGUAAUAGAGUUACAGAUUGUUAGAGUUACAGCUAUUGUUAUUCUGAACAUACCUAAGCUGAGAAAGCAGGUAACAAAAAAUGUAGGGUUUCGACACAAAAGCUCAAACAUUUGGUGAAGAUUCAGAUCUGCAGAAGUCAGCCAGAGAUGUGACAUCCUUCUGGAUAACUUGGGUCUGAUCUGAGCAAACACAUCCUGACUGCAAGGUAUAAAAUACUCUUGGAUAUCUUCAUUACUCUCAAACACUACUUUGAUUGAAUCUGUUUCUUAGGGGCUAUGCUGGACAUGCUGCUUCACUUAAAUAACGUGUAACUCACAGAAUCAUCAGGUAUGAAGGAAAAAAGUAGUCUCUUUGAGCUAGAGCCACCAAAUGAUUUAUGAACUGUGAUAAUGAAGCAUCAUAAAUCUUAUUUUUAUGGCCAAGCCACAUUCACAAGCCUAUAUUAGGUGACCAGACUCUCAAAGUGGUGCCAGGGAAGUAUUAGACAUCUCAAAAUGAGAUUCAAAACAGUGAAGUCUCUGGGGAGGGAACCAUCUAGAACUGAGCAAGAAGAAUAAGUCUUAAAUCUUGCUGCUUUUUAAACCUGUAGAAAAGUACUUCCUAAGUUAUGGGUCAUUUCCUGAACACAGGUAUCUACACCCUCUCUCUGUCAAAAGACUAGGAGAAUUAUUCUUUACUUUUUUUGUCCAAUGGGACCAAAUCACCUUACCAUUACUCCUCCCUUCACCUCACACUGUAACCCUCAGUACAAAUAGGAUUAGUUUCCUCAACCAGGAUGUGGAAGAGACAGGCUCAGAUUUUCUCCUCCGAAGACAUUUCAAACCACAUCCUCCAGCUUCUCUGGAGGGCAUCUUCAGCACAAGGCAGUUAUGAACCAGUUAUAUUCUCCGUUCCCCUGGCUGAAAAUGCUCUGUUGCACAAAAAUAAACAAAUCAAGAUGCUUUGGAACAGCAAAAGCAAAAAAUGAGAGUGAUUCUUCAUCCUGGUGUUCAGGACCAUCACAGGAAGGGAAGAUUUUCAAGUUCUAGGUUCAGUCCUGCUGUCACAUCCUGCUUCUGCAUUUUAUCCAGUGUCUGCUUCAGGUAAAACACGUUUACUGUUAUGAAUUCAUGUUAUAUUUGCCAUUUAAACAAAUGAUCCAUUCAGUUUUCAUUCUUUAGUCAUUUUCCGUGUAAGGGAACAGGCACAAGUAUAGCAAUAUGGCACUUCUUGCAGAAGCAGCACAGAAAAAAGCAUGGAAUUAUCUACAUCUAUCUCACUCUUGCUAUCAGGGAGCCAACUUUUAAAAAGGGGCAAUAAAAAUAUCCACUCGCAACUGACAGAAUAUAGUUCAGUUCCUACAGACCCCACUCUGACCACACAUGGUUUUAGAGAUUGCUCCCUUCCUUUUUAACCAUCUCUUUGUAAUACAAACCAAGCUACCAUACAACAUAAAAUUAGGCUUAAAUACAGUGCUUAAGAACAAGGAAUUUGCAAAACACUAAGAUUCAAGCACAAAUUUUGCCAAAGUAUGUAGUUUUGUCUCUUUUAAUGUACUCAAGGAUAUUUCCAUCAAUGUAACCCAGCAUUUUAAAAAUCUAGGGAUAUAUUGUGGUUUAUUUUGAAUUCACAUUUGCAAUAUAUUAAAAAAAAUCCAAGAACAAAAAGCUUAUUAGAUUUUUUUUUUUAGACCAACUAAAAAAUUGACUUAGUUGAUUAAACCUGGAAACAGGCAUUCUGACCUCAGCAUAAUUACAACACACUGCAGGUUAUAUAGUGAAAGGCUGCUGGCUCUAGGUAGUGCUUGUUAAACGUGUUCUGUUCUUUCCAUAAAAAUGUAACUUAAUUUUCUGUAGAUGGUUUCAAUUUGUUCAACUGUCUCUAUGAAUUACUGGUAUUACAUUUAGUUUUUGCAGGGGAAAAUAUAGUUGAAUUUCACGUCAAGGAAAGUUGCCUUUUUCAAGUCUCUUCAAUUCUUUACCCCACCCUGCUCAGUGGAACUGCAGUUUUUCCUUUUGUGUUUCCAAGUUGAUGCCAUCCAAAUACAGGCUUUGCUUUGUUGCCGUUUUUAUGUGUAUUAUAUCAAUGUCUCCUAAAAGCAGUAAUAAUCCUUGUUAGCCCUUGCACAACCCCUCAUCAAAAUGAGCAAAUUAUUUAGGCUUGUACUUGGCUCUCACUCUCUUCUUCAUAAAAUAUCAGAAUAUCUCAACGAUAAAGAGAUGAGCAGGUCUUUGCUCAUUAGUCUGCCCUUAGUUCCUCACAUCCAAAUCUCCUCCUGCAGGAUUCUGAGAAUUCUUAGAAUUCUGGCCCUAAACCCCCAAAAUUGUUGAGUGAACUCAUUGUUACGAAUGAGACUCCUGAGGUACUGCAAGUAAUAUAUGCGCUUAAGUGCAUUGCUAGGUAGUGGCUGGAACAUUAAGCACUAUAUGGGACUAAAUGCUGAGUAGUUUCCUAUACUUUUUAUACCUAGAGAAAACAGCCUAAUUCCUUCGUGUAACAUCAGAAGCAUCAGCAGAAGGGUCUUCUGUCUGAACUAGGAAGUGCAGGAGUAAAGGCAUGAAGAAGAAAUAGGAUCAGUGUUUUUCAAAAGUUUAUAACUUUAAAAUAAAUGAAUAGAUUAAAAUGAUGCCAUGUUAUAUAUCUAGUUAAUGACAGAAACUUUUCCUAAUUUUAGGGCAUGUUGGUUUAAGCUGUAUAAGAAAAUAAAUGGUAAAUCUGAAGUUUUGGAUAGAAAUGCUUAUGAAGUGAGAGGUUUACUUUGGAAAUAUUCCCAUGUUACACUCUUUCAUUAAAUAAAUAAAUGCCUCUGAUUUAAA
Columba livia (rock pigeon) is the source of this 3668-nucleotide long non-coding RNA. RefSeq lists it as uncharacterized. The record is from RefSeq and is a predicted model, not a curated record. The transcript is spliced from 3 exons. Lineage: Eukaryota; Metazoa; Chordata; Aves; Columbiformes; Columbidae.